This 107-nucleotide small nucleolar RNA is filed under the name Olea europaea subsp. europaea. RNAcentral's name for it is "Plant small nucleolar RNA R71". It matches the Rfam family "Plant small nucleolar RNA R71". Rfam says of the family: R71 is a member of the C/D box family of snoRNAs containing the C (UGAUGA) and D (CUGA) box motifs. Multiple nearly identical copies of this snoRNA have been identified in Arabidopsis, and it is thought to function as a 2'-O-ribose methylation guide for 18S ribosomal RNA. The record is from Rfam by way of RNAcentral. Lineage: Eukaryota; Viridiplantae; Streptophyta; Magnoliopsida; Lamiales; Oleaceae.
AAUUCAUUAUUAGGACAUUUUUGAAGCCUAUCUUUAAACCUCUCCCAAGCCUCAUGAAAGCUCUCAAAUUCGGACUGUUGGAAGGUGGUUAUGUCAUGCUUGAGUUU